UUUAAUGAGGUGUAUUAGCAUUUUACAUUUUGGUUGUAAAGGUGGCUAGCUGCCCAUUAAUU
Molecule: transfer RNA, 62 nt
Filed under: Anthocephalum grabatum
Lineage: Eukaryota; Metazoa; Platyhelminthes; Cestoda; Rhinebothriidea; Anthocephaliidae
Description: Alveobothrium grabatum tRNA-Gln
Source: RNAcentral